RNAcentral lists this ribosomal RNA (526 nucleotides) under uncultured bacterium. RNAcentral's name for it is "bacterial SSU rRNA". It matches the Rfam family "Bacterial small subunit ribosomal RNA", at positions 777 to 1301 of the family's 1533-position model. The record is from RNAcentral.
AAUAGAUACCCUGGUAGUCCACGCCGUAAACGAUGAGUGCUAAGUGUUAGAGGGUUUCCGCCCUUUAGUGCUGCAGCUAACGCAUUAAGCACUCCGCCUGGGGAGUACGGCCGCAAGGCUGAAACUCAAAGGAAUUGACGGGGGCCCGCACAAGCGGUGGAGCAUGUGGUUUAAUUCGAAGCAACGCGAAGAACCUUACCAGGUCUUGACAUCCUCUGCCAACCCUAGAGAUAGGGCGUUCCCCUUCGGGGGACAGAGUGACAGGUGGUGCAUGAUUGUCGUCAGCUCGUGUCGUGAGAUGUUGGGUUAAGUCCCGCAACGAGCGCAACCCUUGAUCUUAGUUGCCAGCAUUCAGUUGGGCACUCUAAGGUGACUGCCGGUGACAAACCGGAGGAAGGUGGGGAUGACGUCAAAUCAUCAUGCCCCUUAUGACCUGGGCUACACACGUGCUACAAUGGAUGGUACAAAGAGCUGCGAACCCGCGAGGGUAAGCCAAUCUCAUAAAGCCAUUCUCAGUUCGGAUUGU